Balaenoptera ricei (Rice's whale) is the source of this 470-nucleotide long non-coding RNA. RefSeq lists it as uncharacterized. The record is from RefSeq and is a predicted model, not a curated record. The transcript is spliced from 3 exons. Lineage: Eukaryota; Metazoa; Chordata; Mammalia; Artiodactyla; Balaenopteridae.
GGAGGCGGGGCGGGGCCGGGCGGGGCGGAGGCGCGUGCCGCGAGAGGCCCCGUGAGCGCGCAGACGAGACAUUGCGUGUGCGUGAGCGCGCACUCGGCAGAGCCCCCGCUGAAGGAACAGGCCGGCAGAGACUGCGCAUGCGGAGAAGGCCGCCCGCCUCCGCGAGCCCGCGCAGGCUCAGACCCCGAGCCGAGGAGCGGGGCAGGGCACCCAGGAGGGAGUAGGAGAACCUGGAUGGAGGCCGGGUCGAAGGUCAGGGCCUUUUCGUGGCCGCCGUGGCACGGAUCCCUACCUGAACACUGCAGGUGACUUUUACCCUGGGAUUCAGAAAUGUCUACAGGACUGAGCCUGGGCCCGCUAAAGAGUCAAGUUGCCAAGUCCUGUCAGUUUUCUCUUGGAUGAAGUCUUCCAUUUCCACAACUGCUGCUCUUGUUCAGGGAACAGAAUAGCCACAAGACUGGUUUCCCAAA